CGUCAUGAAAGUCGGUAACACCCGAAGCCGCUGGCCUAACCCCGUUUGGGGAGGGAGGCGUCGAAGGUGGGAUCGGCGAUUGGGACGAAGUCGUAACAAGGUAGCCGUACCGGAAGGUGCGGCUGGAUCACCUCCUUUCU
RNAcentral lists this ribosomal RNA (140 nucleotides) under Mycobacterium xenopi. Its description in RNAcentral is "partial 16S ribosomal RNA". It matches the Rfam family "Bacterial small subunit ribosomal RNA", at positions 1400 to 1533 of the family's 1533-position model. The record is from RNAcentral. Lineage: Bacteria; Bacillati; Actinomycetota; Actinomycetes; Mycobacteriales; Mycobacteriaceae.